Exaiptasia diaphana is the source of this 347-nucleotide long non-coding RNA. RefSeq lists it as uncharacterized. Lineage: Eukaryota; Metazoa; Cnidaria; Anthozoa; Actiniaria; Aiptasiidae. The transcript is spliced from 2 exons. The record is from RefSeq and is a predicted model, not a curated record.
GAUAGUCUCAUUGCUCACAUUGACUCAUCAUCAUGAAGUACUUGAUAUUAUGCAGCAUCAUGACUCUAUUAGUUCUUACAUCUAUACCGUCAUACCAUGCAUAUGCCGCUGGUGGGGCCAUCCUUCAUAAAGGGAAAAAACGCGACUUUAUACAGUCAAAACGAGCAGCGGACGCAUUUUGUACYAUGGCGAAAAGACACUGUAAAAGAGAAAUGGACAUAGUACCGCCACUUCAAUGAACGACUUAUAAAAGUUACUUUUAAAGUGAACAAGUUGUAAUAUAAAACAUGACAAUAACCCGUAUAAAUCUAUUUAUGACAGUUAAUAAACGUAUUCCAAACAUCUCA